RNAcentral lists this ribosomal RNA (181 nucleotides) under uncultured bacterium. RNAcentral describes it as "partial 16S ribosomal RNA". It matches the Rfam family "Bacterial small subunit ribosomal RNA", at positions 1320 to 1500 of the family's 1533-position model. The record is from RNAcentral.
GUGAAGCUGGAUUCGCUAGUAAUCGCGGAUCAGCAUGCCGCGGUGAAUACGUUCCCGGGCCUUGUACACACCGCCCGUUACACCAUGAGAGCUGCGAACACCCAAAGCCGGUAGCCUAACCGCAAGGAGGGCGCUGUCUAAGGUGGGCGUGGUAAUUGGGGUGAAGUCGUAACAAGGUAAC